GGGGAAUUUUGGACCAUGGGCGCAAGCCUGUUCCAGCCAUGCCGCGUGCAGGAUGAAGGCCUUCGGGUUGUAAACUGCUUUUGUACGGAACGAAAAGACUCUGGUUAAUACCUGGGGUCCAUGACGGUACCGUAAGAAUAAUCACCGGCUAACUACGUGCCAGCAGCCGCGGUAAUACGUAGGGUGCAAGCGUUAAUCGGAAUUACUGGGCGUAAAGCGUGCGCAGGCGGUUAUGCAAGACAGAUGUGAAAUCCCCGGGCUCAACCUGGGGACUGCAUUUGUGACUGCAUAGCUGGAGUGCGGCAGAGGGGGAUGGAAUUCCGCGUGUAGCAGUGUAAUGCGUAGAUAUGCUGAGGGACACCGAUGGCGAAGGCAAUCCCCUGGGCCUGCACUGACGCUCACGCACGACAGCGGGGGGAGCAAACA
RNAcentral lists this ribosomal RNA (426 nucleotides) under uncultured bacterium. RNAcentral describes it as "bacterial SSU rRNA". It matches the Rfam family "Bacterial small subunit ribosomal RNA", at positions 356 to 774 of the family's 1533-position model. The record is from RNAcentral.